GGGUAGCAACGGUAGCUUUCCAGCCUCAUAAGCUGUGAAUUUGUUGGUUCGAUUCCAAUCAUCGCAACCA
Molecule: transfer RNA, 70 nt
Filed under: Caudoviricetes sp.
Lineage: Duplodnaviria; Heunggongvirae; Uroviricota; Caudoviricetes
Description: tRNA-Met
Rfam family: tRNA
About the family: Transfer RNA (tRNA) molecules are approximately 80 nucleotides in length. Their secondary structure includes four short double-helical elements and three loops (D, anti-codon, and T loops). Further hydrogen bonds mediate the characteristic L-shaped molecular structure. tRNAs have two regions of fundamental functional importance: the anti-codon, which is responsible for specific mRNA codon recognition, and the 3' end, to which the tRNAs corresponding amino acid is attached (by aminoacyl-tRNA synthetases). tRNAs cope with the degeneracy of the genetic code in two manners: having more than one tRNA (with a specific anti-codon) for a particular amino acid; and 'wobble' base-pairing, i.e. permitting non-standard base-pairing at the 3rd anti-codon position.
Source: RNAcentral